GAUGAACGCUAGCGGCAGGCUUAACACAUGCAAGUCGAGGGGCAGCACGUCUUCGGAUGGUGGCGACCGGCGCACGGGUGAGUAACGCGUAUGCAAUCUACCUUUUACAGGGGCAUAGCCCGGGGAAACCCGGAUUAAUAUCCUAUAGUACCAUUAUAUAGCAUUAUAUUAUGGUUAAAGUUUCGGCGGUAAAAGAUGAGCAUGCGUCCUAUUAGCUUGAUGGUAAGGUAACGGCUUACCAUGGCUAUGAUAGGUAGGGGUCCUGAGAGGGAGACCCCCCACACUGGUACUGAGACACGGACCAGACUCCUAUGGGAGGCAGCAGUGAGGAAUAUUGGACAAUGGGCGGCAAGCCUGAUCCAGCCAUGCCGCGUGCAGGAAGACUGCCCUAUGGGUUGUAAACUGCUUUUGUAUGGGAGCAAUAAGCCCUUCGUGAAGGGUGAUGAGAGUACCAUACGAAUAAGCAUCGGCUAACUCCGUGCCAG
RNAcentral lists this ribosomal RNA (485 nucleotides) under uncultured bacterium. Its description in RNAcentral is "bacterial SSU rRNA". It matches the Rfam family "Bacterial small subunit ribosomal RNA", at positions 28 to 511 of the family's 1533-position model. The record is from RNAcentral.